RNAcentral lists this long non-coding RNA (634 nucleotides) under Homo sapiens (human). RNAcentral's name for it is "non-protein coding lnc-SBK1-2:1". The record is from RNAcentral. Lineage: Eukaryota; Metazoa; Chordata; Mammalia; Primates; Hominidae.
AUGGCGACCUGCGGCGACCGGAGCAGCAGCGGCGUCAGUUGCUGCACCGCCGACUUCUUGGAGCAGCGAAAGCGACUCGCGAGAAGACGCCGCCAAGUGGAACCCGGGCCCUGCGGCCCUGGGAGGGGGCAGCAGCGACACAGCCAUGAAGCCCCGGGCGCGGCGCUGGGCGCCAACGAGAGCCACGGCAACCUCCAGACGGCGCCACAGCAACCUCUAGGCAGUGCCCACACCAGCCUACAGGUGGCGCCCCUCGCACUGCACCUGCCGCGGCCGCCCCGGGUGUGAACUGCGCUGUCAGCAGGGCCGCGCUGACCCGGGUGGCCCAGGCCCGCAGCAGCCGAGGAGCCCAGGGGCACUGCCCGGGGUGACGAGAAGGAGAAGACGGUGCCCCAGAAAAAGGCAAGAGCUCAGAGCUCGGGUCCCCGUGCCAGGAAUGGCCAGGAGCAGAAGAUGGAGAGGUGGAGAUGGAGAAGGAGAAGCAGGAGGUGGGAAGGAGCGGCGCUCCACCGGUGGGGUCAACAUGCGCUGGCUGAGCUUAGAGUAUGAAGAGGAUGAAGCAAGUCAGAAAGAGCGGAAACGAGAAGGUGCAAUGACACAGCAGAGCACAAUGCAGAAUCCAGCCCUAGGACUC